This 197-nucleotide ribosomal RNA is filed under the name uncultured Janthinobacterium sp. Its description in RNAcentral is "partial 16S ribosomal RNA". It matches the Rfam family "Bacterial small subunit ribosomal RNA", at positions 338 to 526 of the family's 1533-position model. The record is from RNAcentral. Lineage: Bacteria; Pseudomonadati; Pseudomonadota; Betaproteobacteria; Burkholderiales; Oxalobacteraceae.
CCUACGGGAGGCAGCAGUGGGGAAUUUUGGACAAUGGGCGAAAGCCUGAUCCAAGCAAUGCCGCGUGAGUGAAGAAGGCCUUCGGGUUGUAAAGCUCUUUUGUCAGGGAAGAAACGGUGAGAGCUAAUAUCUCUUGCUAAUGACGGUACCUGAAGAAUAAGCACCGGCUAACUACGUGCCAGCAGCCGCGGUAAUAC